This is a non-coding RNA of Xyrichtys novacula (pearly razorfish), 1968 nucleotides long. The record is from the annotation of a GenBank genome assembly. Lineage: Eukaryota; Metazoa; Chordata; Actinopteri; Labriformes; Labridae.
CCGGGAGCGGAUUAAACAGAUCUCCUGAUCCCUGGAAUGACCUUACAUUGUGAGGCUCCAACAGGAAGAGCAUUAGCCUUAACUCUCUGCACGGGUUCCCUUUCCAUUCAGCGCACAGAAACCUGACACCUGUCAGUCAGGGCUCCUGCAGGCUUACUGGUAGGUACCAAUUUUUGGGCUGUAGUCCAUAAGUGGACUCAUGCUCCAUUCUGUGUGGACUGCAAGCCUGAUGCAUGUGUGACUCCUUUUAAAACAUUAGUUUACAUUUUAGAAAAGGAUGUUGGGUAAGAUUAUAAAGACUAAUAUGUGCUGAUGAAGUUUGCAGUAAAUGUAGCUUAAUCCUAGAACACUAUCGCUAAAAUUAGUACCACCAUCACUUUCGCCGGGUGAUUUUUGCCUGAAAUAAUAUACCCAAGAAAAAGUACUUGUCUUCAAAAUAUAUCAAAAUAGGACAAUACAUGACAAAUUAAAGUUGUUUUCUUUUCUUUUUAACUGCUCAAUGUCCAAAGGGAGAGGGAAAAGUGUAAUGAGGGGACAGUAUAAAAAUGCAAAAAAAAUAACUGAAAUUAUUAUAAUUAUUGCAUUCAUGAACAAAAAUUUCGAAAAAAUAAAUAAAUAAACUUAUUUUUUUUCCCCCACCCAUUCCUGGGGUAUGUGAGUCUUCCCUUGGCACAAUAACAGCUGCAGGAGAGAGAACCAAAUUAUGACGUAUUUUGAGUGAGUAAAAAUGACCAGCUGACUUAAAUAUUUCUCAUCAUCAUAUGAAUUCCCUUAAAAAUCACUACUUUGUGAUAGUUAUUCAUAACCACUGCACUAUAUAAAGAUAGCAGGCAAAUUCCAGGACCACUCUUACUGACCUUAUUACCUACACGCAGCUUUCAAAUCCACCCAAACCUACUUUACCCUCUAUCACUAUUGAUGGGUGAAAAUCACCCGAACACGUGCCUGAAGGAAAAGCCGGUUUAGGAUCAGGGGAACAAAUAUGCCUUCAAAGAUGUCAAAGGCCAUGCUGAAGCUACCCAGGGACCCAUGAUACUCAGACAAAUGCAACAUAAUGAAAAUCAUGUAAACGUUUGGUCGGGUGAAAAUCACCCGAGGAUAGUGUCCUAGGGUUAACUAGCAUGUAGCAUUACUUGCAAAAAAAGCUUCUUAAACUGCUUGAGCAUCAAGUUACACAACCUGGCUAGUCAUUCCGUGCCUCUGCUCCCUUCUUGGUAGCAGAGAUGAAGCUCCUCAGCAUGGCAGAGCGCACAGACUACAAACACACAAACGAAACUUGGUUUUACUUCAACCAAAUGCAAGUAGAAAGAUUUCGCUGUAGGGGUGAAGAUGAGCAUAUUAACUGUCAGUUUCUAACAAAUAAUCCUCUCUCAGCAGAUAAAAGAGUGUCCAAUCUUUUAGCCGUAAUUUCCACAUUUGUUUUCCCCUGUCAGCCCAUGGUCACAGUUUGCCAUAGUGUCACACAACAGGACUUCUUCAUCACUCAGUCAAAUCAAAAAACAAACAUCAAACACACUCUGCUGGGCUCACUCUCGCCAGUGGCCAUCAAAGAUUAAUGACCAUGAAGUCAUUCAGAAAGUCUUCCUUUGAGAAAAGAGUCUUUGGAUUUUACCCAAUGAUUACUGGAUUCAAACUUUUUCAGACACUUGGUGAGUUUAAAUCAUUUCAUGGGUUAAUUAUUAUUUCUUGUAGUUUGCAUAUGGUGGCUAAAUCAGCUGUUGUCACCUUGAGUAAGUAUUUGUAUUUAUUUCAGUCAUGGCAGGUGUCUUUUUAAGCUGGGUGCACAUAGUUCAGUUAGCAAUGUCACACAUUUUAAUUGAUCAUAAAUUAGUUUGCACUUGCUCUUGAUUUCAAGUUACUUACCCCGUUUGUUCGUUUGUUUUCUCAGCUCUCCAGACAAAAGGCUAACUGGCAACUUAAGAUGGCCUUUUAAGCCCCGCCCAUAGGAAGUGGAAGAGACCAUCAGGG